This is a long non-coding RNA of Gigantopelta aegis, 4290 nucleotides long. RefSeq lists it as uncharacterized. The record is from RefSeq and is a predicted model, not a curated record. The transcript is spliced from 2 exons. Lineage: Eukaryota; Metazoa; Mollusca; Gastropoda; Neomphalida; Peltospiridae.
ACGUCAUAUUUUAAAUGCAAAGUCUGAGCUAGGACUGGAGAAGCAACGUCAUGUUAUGACGUCGCUUCCCAAAAUUAUGUUAUUACACGUAUGCUUCGUAUGAUUAUUAUUAACUCGGUUAUGUUAAACCAUAAUUAUAGAUAAUAAUGUGAGGUAAGUGUUUGUAUAAUAAUGUAGUUUUUUUUUUUAUUACUGGGUGUUAGAUACCAGUAGUUUUAUUUAUUCUUUAAUAUUAAAUUAAAAACUUUGUUCACUGUAAACUAUUUUCUGCAAGGCAGCAAGCAAUUCGAAGCAUAUUGUUUUCUUUUUGUGCUAUUUUCAAUAUAAUAAUUAUUGUUGAUUUUUCUUUGGUGAAAGUAUUUCUUAUAUUUUAACUUUUUGUCUAAAUUGAAAAGUAUUUUAGUUUUUAUAAGGUUUUGAAGUUUAUGUUUGUGCUACAUUGUAUAUAUUUAAUGUAUUACAUGCAGGUAGUAAAUAAAUUAGUGGAGUAAAAUUAAUGCAUGAUGUAUUAGAAAGAACAUUGCAUGGAGUGUUUGUAACAAGCAACGGUUUGCAGUGCACAGUUUAACUCUGGACGAAGACAUUUAGAAAUGUUUGUAUCUCUUCACAAACACCCUCUCCCUUUUCCGAUAAUUGUUUAACUCUGGACAGUGCACAGUUUAACUCUGGACGAAGACAUUUUGAAAUGUUUGUAUCUCUUCACAAACACCCUCUCCCUUUUCCAAUAAUUGUUUCCUCUCCCUUCCUAGAGCAUUACAUAAUCGUUCAAAAACCCUUGUUACAAUUAUUACUUUAAAUUUGUGCAAGGGUGAAUAGAUACUAGUGUUUGAGCUAGGACUAAGAAAUUCAAAUAUUGGUACCAAAAUUGGGGCAAAUGUUGUUAUUGUUGAAUUUUUCAUCUGUGGGUUCUAAAAAUGCUUGAUAGCAGUGUGAAUCUAAUGUUUUACUAACAAAAUAACACCAUUUUGUACCAAUACCAUACUCAUGAUGGAAUGAACAGUUAUUGAUUUGUGAAUUUACGUAAAACUUCUCUCUCUCUCUCUCUCUCUCUUCCCCUUAAUGGUUCCCCUACUAGAUUUGUAAUAUCAAGUAACCAUUAAGAUAAAUAACUUGAAACGAUUCCGGUGUAAUUGAAGCAUUCCAUUUUGAUACAUUGCUAUUCAUAUUAAGUGGAUAUUUUGUUCAGAUGUUUUGGUUUAUGUUUGGAUUUCUUCAAGUAUUUUUCAGCCAUUUUGUUUCUGUAAUAUUUCAAAUGUGCACUGCUGUCUGCUACUGUAUUGUGAAAUAAAGUGUGUGAAAGUCAAUUAUAAAUGAAACGUUUCAUACAAAUAUUUGUCAAAAUAAAGGAGGGAGUACAUGUAAACUUCUUCUUUCUUUCAAUAUAUUUUCAAGACAUUAGAAAAUACGGCACAUUAAAUACAAAACCAAUUAUUAUAUAAAUUAGUUAGGAUGUUGAAAAUAAUACACAUUAUUUAUUUAUUAUUUUUUAUUAAAUGGGGGCCAGGCCCUUUCAAAACAUUGGAAAUACUGCAGAAAAAAAGAUCAAUAAAAAAUGGUGGUUGACCUUUAUCUAUUGGGCAAGUGAUGGACUUUUUCAUUUGGAUACAAUAAAAUGCAUAAGCAGAACUGACAAAAGCCAAAUGAAUUUUAACAAUGUUUUCAUAUGUUAUCAGGUGUAAAAAUUCUGUAUUAUAAUGGCAGAGAAAUGUUAAUGUAUAAAAAGAAGUUGCAAUACUUGGUAAAUAUUUUCGUUUGUAUAAAUCAUGUAUUAUUUUUGCUAAAAACAGUAUGUCUUGAAUAUUUGUGUUUUAAGAAUUUUAUUUGUAGUAUUUGGAUUAAAACCAUAAUUGCAGUUUGAGGCAACUGUAACUGUUAUACUUUUGGUAUAUGCAAGUGUCCCUACUAAAUGUAUUGUAUUUUCAAUGUGCUUCAGCAUUCAUUACUGUACAGUGUUAAUGUAACUGGUAAUACUCAUACACAUACAUGUAUGUAUUAUGUCAUAUACUGAUUGAAGAAAAUAAAGGAACACAUAUAAGUAUUAAAAGCCAAUACUGACUGGAACCCAAACCCACAUUGAUAGUGUGAGCAAGCUAACUGUGUUACUGGCGUAAAGGAACACACAUAAGUAGUAAAAGCCAAUACUGACUGGAACCCAAACCCACAUUGAUAGUGUCAGCAAAUUAACCGUGUUACUGGCGUAAAGGAACACACAUAAGUAGUAAAAGCCAAUACUGACUGGAACCCAAACCCACAUUGAUAGUGUCAGCAAGCUAACCGUGUUACUGGCGUAAAGGAACACACACGGCUCACUGGAACAUAUCUUGGUUCAGCUAGUCGUCAGAUAUACAGUAAAGUACUCGUAUAAUGAACUGCAAGGGACCAGACACAUCGGUUCAUUAUAGCAGUAGUUUGUUAUACACAUUUGACGAAGCUAGCCCUUUUCAUUCAGGAAGUCGGACUUUUUGGAUUUUUCAAAUUUAAACAUUUUUUAUUUCAUUUAUUAUCUCCAAAAUCAGCGCAGUUGUUUUGGAUGCAUUGCCAUUAAUGUUACUGAAUGACAACAUACAGAUUAAAACAAAAUAUGAUGGGUUCGCUGUAUGUACACUAAUUUACACUGAUAUUCACAAUUUUAACAAACAGAUUGGUUUGUUUUAACAGUUAAUUCGCUAUACAUAGUUCAUUCUAUACCUUAAACAUUAUUAAUACUAUAUAGGGUUGAAAAACGGGACUUUACAAUUAGUUCGUUCCAACCGGUAGUUUGUUGUUAGCGUGUUCGUUCUAAAAGUACUUUACUGUAUAAAGUACUGGUAUUUCCUUGAAAAUUAUUAAAAUUAAUUUUAGAUAUAUUUUAUUUGUAAAAGACUAAAUGUUGUAGCCACUUUGUCUAAAAAAAUUAGCAUUUGGCUGAUAUGGCAAUGGUGAACCUAAUAUACAUGUAAGUAAUAAAGGCAAAUUUACACCCAUAGUGUUACCGACAUUCAAGCCCAACUACAUGACGUUGUUUUUUUAGGCUUGAAUUCACUUUGAUCUAACAUGUCUUGUGUUCCCUUAUUUAUUUCAAACAAUAUACAGUUAUUGAUAGUUUUAGGCUUGAAUUCACUUUGAUCUAACAUGUCUUGUGUUCCCUUAUUUAUUUCAAACAGUAUACAGUUAUUGAUAGUUUUAGGCUGGACAGUAAAUUACUCUUACUAUAAGUGUGCUAGUAGUUUGGUGCAUUUUGUUUAAAAGUGUGUGGCUGAAAGAUGUUAAAUUUACUAAUUCAGGACCAUACCUGUUAUAAAACAUUGGUGGGAGGGUGGGUGGGGGAAGGGGCAGUACCGCAGCAAAAGAGUAAAGCCAUACUGAUACCAGAUCCUCCCCAGCCACAUGUAUAGGGAACUUUUAAAAUUAAAAGGGCACAUUGGGGUGGCCCUUUCCAGGUGCGGCCCUGUAAUUUUGGACCAAAGUAGAAAAUAAAUAUAUAAAGGCUCAUUGCAUGUAACACUACAAGUGGUUCAGCCCCUCCCGCCCCGGAGUCGGUCACUGGCGUAGUCAGAGGCUGAAUCCGGGGUGGGCGUGCCUGAACCCUUGUGGAUAGGGGCACGUAAAAAGAGUUUCCCAGUUUCCCAGUGGUUCAGUUAACUUUUCGCUAAUUUAUUAUAAGCGGACACUUUAAGUUUUGAUGGAUAUUUUUCUCAAUAACCAAAUUUGUUUUGGCAAGAAAAUAGUAAGCUAAGAGUAAGGUAGAAGCUGUUUAACAAUUAUUUGACACUUGGUGCAAGGAUAUCAUGUUAUAGUGGGGUGCACUUAAAUUGCAGAAUUUUGUAUAGAAAAAUUGGGUAUAAAAACAUUUUGUAACAAAAGAUUUGGUACAAAAAAAUAAAUAAAACACCCCCAAAAAGCAAACAACAAAACAGAUUUUGUGUUACUUAAAUGUUGGAUGACUCCAUAUAUAAUACUGAUAUGGUUAGUAGGCACAAUUAAUCAUGAAAAGUGAAAACUAAAAAUUGUUAUGGUGCAUAUUUAGUUAUUUUUACUAUCCAGUAGGGUAAAUAUAGUACAUUAUAUCAUUGUUAAGGACCAAUCAGUGACCUUGUUUCUCGUAUUGUGAUAGGGAAUUAUGUCAAUACUAACACACUGUUUAACUAUUGGGCAUUUUUCAAUUGUAGCUGCCUUUUUGUUAUAUACAUACAUGUUCUUGUAAUGUAGAGUUUAUCUUUGUCUCGGCUAUAUAUACCACACUGUGUUGUUAAUAUGUGUACAUUGAAUGUUGCUUAAUUAUAGAAUAUAAAUAAAUACAAUGGAUCUAAA